GGCUCAUGAAAUUUAUAAUUCUUCAGUUUAUGCCUUCAUCAAUUUCAUCUUGGGAAUGUGAAGCCCAAUUACAGAAGCAAAGUCCAAUAUUGCAAUGAUAUUUAGGAACACCACAACGGACUCUACAAUCUUCGUCUUUGGUGCAACAACAAAAGUUAACGUCCCUUGCUUCUGCCUUUGGUGAAACACCUAUUAUAUCAAAAGUCAGUAUUAUAUACUAACAUAUUAUAUACUAAAAAUCAAAGCAAAUAAAAAACUUACAGAUUCCCAUCACCAUGAAGAUAAGAAGAAAAACCAUUACUUUGAAAGCCAUAAUUUAGUAUUUAG
RNAcentral lists this long non-coding RNA (327 nucleotides) under Capsicum annuum. Its description in RNAcentral is "long non-coding RNA (CANN_LNC016733)". Lineage: Eukaryota; Viridiplantae; Streptophyta; Magnoliopsida; Solanales; Solanaceae. The record is from RNAcentral.